Non-coding RNA from Picea glauca (white spruce), 57 nucleotides. The record is from Rfam. NCBI's taxonomy places the organism in Eukaryota, Viridiplantae, Streptophyta, Pinopsida, Pinales, Pinaceae.
GCGGGGAUAGCUCAGUCGGGAGAGCGUCAGACGCGUGUUCGAUCCACGUUCACCGCA